CGGGAUGAAGGUUUCACAAAACUAAAUUUUUUAUUAUAGUUCAGAGUAAUUUGGGUUGUGAGUAAAAAUUCUUACAGGGGUUUAAGGGGCGAUAAGACCCUAGCAGCUUUAUUUGGUUUUAGAUUUAGGGGUUAUAAAAAGUAUAUUUAAAAAAAAUUUUAACUGGGGUAGUUAUUUCUAAGAAAUGGAAAGUUAAACGAAACGUAAGGGUCUUGGCCCUUAAAAUUAGGGUGAUUGGAGAAAGUUACUUUAGGGUUAACAGUGUAAUAAUUUUGGAAAGGCCUUAUUGAUAAAAUUGAUUGCAACCUCGAUGUUGAAUUAGAAAAUCGGCUUCAGGGAGAAUGGAGGUUUGACGGUUUGUUCAACCGUUAAUUUUCUACAUGAUUU
RNAcentral lists this ribosomal RNA (387 nucleotides) under Harpiniinae sp. BOLD:ADF5815. RNAcentral describes it as "partial 16S ribosomal RNA". The stretch from base 255 to 387 matches the Rfam family "Archaeal large subunit ribosomal RNA", at positions 2542 to 2675 of the family's 2987-position model. The record is from RNAcentral. Lineage: Eukaryota; Metazoa; Arthropoda; Malacostraca; Amphipoda; Phoxocephalidae.